AUAUCUCUCUGUACGGGAAGGAUGAGAAGCUUCGACUAAGGUUCGAUUCGAGCGAAAGCGAGAAAGCGUUGCCGCAGGCAACGACCCGAAGGGCGAAGCGCGUAGCGCUGAGUCAUCCUUCCCCCACCACCA
RNAcentral lists this small RNA (132 nucleotides) under Salmonella enterica subsp. enterica serovar Haga. RNAcentral describes it as "RtT sRNA". It matches the Rfam family "RtT RNA". From Rfam's summary of the family: This family represents a bacterial cis-regulatory element known as RtT RNA. The exact function of RtT is unknown although it is thought that it may be involved in changing the cellular response in relation to amino acid starvation. Lineage: Bacteria; Pseudomonadati; Pseudomonadota; Gammaproteobacteria; Enterobacterales; Enterobacteriaceae. The record is from RNAcentral.